This 253-nucleotide ribosomal RNA is filed under the name uncultured bacterium. RNAcentral's name for it is "partial 16S ribosomal RNA". It matches the Rfam family "Bacterial small subunit ribosomal RNA", at positions 524 to 776 of the family's 1533-position model. The record is from RNAcentral.
UACGUAGGGGGCAAGCGUUAUCCGGAUUCACUGGGUGUAAAGGGAGCGUAGGCGGCCAUGCAAGCCUGGAGUGAAAGCCCGGGGCCCAACCCCGGGACUGCUCUGGGAACUGUGCGGCUGGAGUGCGGGAGGGGCAGGCGGAAUUCCUGGUGUAGCGGUGAAAUGCGUAGAUAUCAGGAGGAACACCGGCGGCGAAGGCGGCCUGCUGGACCGCGACUGACGUUGAGGCUCGAAAGCGUGGGGAGCAAACAGG